Molecule: long non-coding RNA, 1177 nt
Organism: Dama dama (fallow deer)
Lineage: Eukaryota; Metazoa; Chordata; Mammalia; Artiodactyla; Cervidae
Exons: 3
Source: RefSeq, a predicted model, not a curated record
CUCCAGGGCGGGAGAGGUCGGUGAGAGGAGGCGAGCUGCAGGCGGGCAGACUGGAGCCUUGCACCCCGGAAGCUGGUGGGAGAGAGAAAGAUGUGGCAGAGGCCGCAGAGGACGACAGUGACGCUAAGGCUGACGGUGAUGAUGGCAGAGACCAGCAGGACAUCGCGGGUGGGCGCCCCUGGAGAAGACAUGCACAGGUGGUUGUGAACAUGAGCUCAAACCUAAAUGUAAGGAAGGCGAAACUUGACCAGAGAUUAUCGUGUGGGGGAGUGAGUCGACAGAGACCGGCACAGAUCACACGUGCUCUGUAAAUAUGUGUGCGCCCGGAUGGAUCUUCAAGUCAAGGAGACGCUGUUUAUUUACAGAGGAGCCUGCGUGGGCUUUUUGGUUUCAGCGAUGGUGGUAAUUAAGAGUCGAAGAUAUCUGUCUGCUCCCGGUUCCUGCGGUUUUAGCUUCUGGGUGCCUGGUCCCUGUCGCUUUGCCGUGGGGCCUUGUGGAGGAGAACCCAGUGGUCAGCUCCAGCGCUCAGGGCCCUUGGGCGGCCUCCCACCACGACUCCAGCGCUCUGGGCAGCCGGUACUGUUGUCUGGUCUCCUUAGAAUCCCCCUUGGGCUCCACCCCUCCCACUCCAACGUCUGGAGUCUCCAAGCUGUGGGGAAAGGCCACUCUUGCCAGGCCCCUCCGUGUCCACCUGCCAGGCCAUCUAUACUUCCUCCUGUCCUGAGUCCCUGGCCUCGGCCCCCAGAAAGCCACUGCACCCAGCUCACUGUCAACCUCAGAGUCCACAGCACCCAGGGGCUCUGGCCUGGACAGCCUGCAGACACUGGGAAAGUGGUCCUGCCUUUCCCUCCAUCCAGCAGAAGAGCACAGCUCUGCUGAGGCUGGAGGGGCCACCUGUGUCGUGGUUCUCAGGCCAGAUGGGAGGCUUCCAUCUUGAACCUUCAGGCUCCAGGGGGUACGGAGGGACCAUAAUACCAUAAGCCCCCAGACUCAGGCCUGUGGUCAAGAGAUGUGUGGUCAUAGCUUCUGGGAAUGGGGCCAGUGCUCUUUCCAGCUCUCUCCAUGGGAACUGCCCCUGCCCCCACAGGGGGCAUGGGGGUGGGGUGCUGUGUGGGCUGGGAGAGCAGACCUUCCUUUGCUGAACUCACUUUUUAAAAUAAAGUUAUUCCCUCCUUGG